This 1153-nucleotide ribosomal RNA is filed under the name Bacillus sp. (in: firmicutes). RNAcentral describes it as "bacterial SSU rRNA". It matches the Rfam family "Bacterial small subunit ribosomal RNA", at positions 319 to 1474 of the family's 1533-position model. Lineage: Bacteria; Bacillati; Bacillota; Bacilli; Caryophanales; Bacillaceae. The record is from RNAcentral.
CUGAGAACACGGCCAGACUCCUACGGGAGGCAGCAGUAGGGAUCUCGCAAUGACGAAAGUCUGACGAGCACGCCGCUGAGUGAUGAAGUUUUCGGAUCGUAAAGCUCUGUUGUUAGGGAAGAACAAGUGCCGUUCAAAUAGGGCGGCACUUGACGGUACCUAACCAGAAAGCCACGGCUAACUACGUGCCAGCAGCCGCGGUAAUACGUAGGUGGCAAGCGUUGUCCGGAAUUAUUGGGCGUAAAGGGCUCGCAGGCGGUUUCUUAAGUCUGAUGUGAAAGCCCCCGGCUCAACCGGGGAGGGUCAUUGGAAACUGGGGAACUUGAGUGCAGAAGAGGAGAGUGGAAUUCCACGUGUAGCGGUGAAAUGCGUAGAGAUGUGGAGGAACACCAGUGGCGAAGGCGACUCUCUGGUCUGUAACUGACGCUGAGGAGCGAAAGCGUGGGGAGCGAACAGGAUUAGAUACCCUGGUAGUCCACGCCGUAAACGAUGAGUGCUAAGUGUUAGGGGGUUUCCGCCCCUUAGUGCUGCAGCUAACGCAUUAAGCACUCCGCCUGGGGAGUACGGUCGCAAGACUGAAACUCAAAGGAAUUGACGGGGGCCCGCACAAGCGGUGGAGCAUGUGGUUUAAUUCGAAGCAACGCGAAGAACCUUACCAGGUCUUGACAUCCUCUGACAAUCCUAGAGAUAGGACGUCCCCUUCGGGGGCAGAGUGACAGGUGGUGCAUGGUUGUCGUCAGCUCGUGUCGUGAGAUGUUGGGUUAAGUCCCGCAACGAGCGCAACCCUUGAUCUUAGUUGCCAGCAUUCAGUUGGGCACUCUAAGGUGACUGCCGGUGACAAACCGGAGGAAGGUGGGGAUGACGUCAAAUCAUCAUGCCCCUUAUGACCUGGGCUACACACGUGCUACAAUGGACAGAACAAAGGGCAGCGAAACCGCGAGGUUAAGCCAAUCCCACAAAUCUGUUCUCAGUUCGGAUCGCAGUCUGCAACUCGACUGCGUGAAGCUGGAAUCGCUAGUAAUCGCGGAUCAGCAUGCCGCGGUGAAUACGUUCCCGGGCCUUGUACACACCGCCCGUCACACCACGAGAGUUUGUAACACCCGAAGUCGGUGAGGUAACCUUUUAGGAGCCAGCCGCCGAAGUGACCGAAUGU